RNAcentral lists this ribosomal RNA (1815 nucleotides) under Discocephalus rotatorius. RNAcentral describes it as "LSU rRNA". It matches the Rfam family "Eukaryotic large subunit ribosomal RNA", at positions 72 to 1874 of the family's 3401-position model. The record is from RNAcentral. Lineage: Eukaryota; Ciliophora; Spirotrichea; Euplotida; Discocephalidae.
AGAUUGCCUCAGUAUCGGCGAGAGAAGCGGCAAGAGCCCAAGUGAAAAUCGGCAACUUGCAGUUGUUCGAAUUGUAAUCUGUAGGAUUAAUACCAAACUAGUCAGGGACGCGGAAAUGUCUUUGAAAGGACUGCCAGAGAGGGUGAGAGCCCCGUCUGUAGUGUCGCUGUAGGCUAGGUAUUGGUCCAAAGAGUCGGGUAGUUUUGUACUGCUGCCCUAAUUGGGAGAUAAACUUCUUCUAAGGCUAAAUACAUCCAGGAAACCGAUAGCGAACAAGUACUGUGAAGGAAAGAUGAAAAGAACUUUGGAAAAAGAGUUAACAGAUUUGAAACUGUUGAGAAGGAAGCGGUAGAAAUUUAUCAUUUGUCAUGGGCCCGCGUCCCUGCGUAUCCUCUGUAGUGUGUAGUACUGUCAAAAGGCUGCUAGCUGCAUCAGGAGUAGCGGUGGUUUGAGUCCUUGGCAUUAGGCAAGAUGGGCUUGGGCGCCUUCAAAAGCUGUUUGUAGAGCUUGUCAUUUUUGGCUUGACUACUUAUGUGCUGGGAGGCGUCUAGGCUGAGGGGUUUUGUACGAUUUUGCCAAAAUGGUUUUUACCGACCCGUCUUGAAACACGGACCAAGGAGUCUAACUUAUGUGCGAGUGUGCUGGUGUAGAAACCGACACGCAAAAUUAACGUGAACUGGUGCCAGUCUUCGGAUGCAGCAUCGGCCGACCAUGAUUCUUUGAUGAAAGGUUUGAGUAUGAGCACAUAGGCUAGGACCCGAAAGAUGGUGAACUAUGCCUGAGUAGGGUGAAGCCAGGGGAAACUCUGGUGGAGGCUCGAAGCGAUUCUGACGUGCAAAUCGAUCGUCAAACUUUGGUAUAGGGGCGAAAGACUAAUCGAACCAUCUAGUAGCUGGUUCCCUCCGAAGUUUCCCUCAGGAUAGCUGAGACAAAUUUAGCAGUUUUAUUAGGUAAAGCGAAUGAUUAGAGUGUUUUCGGGGAAUCAAAUUCCUCGGCCUAUUCUCAAACUUUAAAUUGGUAAGAACUCCGGGCUAGGCUUAAGUGAGUCACGGAGGUAGAAUGCUUGUCUCAAGUGGGCCAUUUUUGGUAAGCAGAACUGGCGAUGAGGGAUGAACCUAACGUAGAGUUAAGGUGCCCAACUGUACGCUCAUCAGAUACCACAAAAGGUGUUGAUUCAUUUAGACAGCAGGACGGUGGCCAUGGAAGUCGGAAUCCGCUAAGGAGUGUGUAACUACUCACCUGCCGAAUGGAUUAGCCCUGAAAAUUGAUGGCGCUUAAGCGUACGACCGAUACUCUACCAAUGCUACGAGAGUGCUGUGGCAUUGAGUAGGAGGGCGUGAGCGUUGUGGAGAAGCCCCUGGCGUGAGCCUAGGUUGAACAGCGCUUAGUGCAGAUCUUGGUGGUAGUAGCAAUUAUUCAAAUGAGAACUUUGAAGGCCGAAGUGGAGAAGGUUUCCGUGAGAACAGCAAUUGGUCACGGGUGACUCGAUCCUAAGACAUUGGGGAUUUCCUUGCAAAUGUGCUUUAUGCACGCAGUCGAAAGGGAAUGAGGUUAAUAUUCCUCAAGCUGGAUGUGGACGUUAUAAUGGCAACAUGAACGAGCUCUGAGACGCCAGCGCGUGCCCUUGGAAGAGUUAUCUUUUCUUUUUAACUGCUUAAUGACCUUGGAGUCGGAUUAUCCGGAGAGAAGGUUAUACGGCAGGAAGAGCGUCUCGCUUUUUGAGACGUCAGGUGCGCCCGCGAUGGCCCUUGAAAAUCAGAGUGAGAAAUAUUGCACACCAGGUCGUACCCACAACCGCAUCAGGUCUCCAAGGUU